GUAUUAAAUUUUUUAUGCCCUCAUGUUGGAAAAAAAACCAAUAAUCCACACCCACCCUUCCUCCUCUUUCCUCCCAAAACGAGAAAAUCGAUGAUUAUAGAAUAACCUCUUCAUUAAUCGUGCAUGAUGAGAUUGCCAACAUGUUGUACACACUUUUUUUCUUCGUUUUUUUAUUUAAAAAAAAAAAAAUCAAAAAAAAAAUCAAAAUCCAAUUCUAAGUUGUCACUUAAAAAGUUUAAAAGUUUAAAAGUUUUUGAAGUUUAUUGGCCUUCCAAGCAAAGAAAUAACAUUGUGGACUAUGCUAUCAUUUAUAGUGGAAUUGGUUGUAGGGUGCAGCAACUACAUGCUAUGUGGCAUUGCAUCCACAGGUUAAAGGGAUGACCGGGAAAUAUUUUGCAGACUGUAACCUAGCUGAAGCAAACUCGCAAGCCAACAAUACUGAAAUGGCAAAGAAAUUGUGGGAUUUCAGCUUGAGAUUGAUUAACCAAUGCACUCAAAUUUCUUAGAGGGGGCGGCAACGACAUGUUAUGUGGCAUUGCAUCCACAAGUCGAGGGAAAAAGUGGUGAAUAUUUCAGUGACAGCAAUGUGGCCAAAGCAAGUGGACACGCUAUGAACAUCGAGUUGGCAAAGAAACUCUGGGAUUUCAGCAUGAACUUAGUUAAGUAAUGUACUCCUAAUUUCACAAAAUCCACUGUACCUCAAAAAUAAGAAUAGUACAUAAGCUAGUUGAAUGGUGUUUGCCCUGCUUUGUUAACAAAGAACAAUCUGAUAAAUCCUUGAAUUGUAAUAAUUUGAUUAAUCGUUUAUACUUAUUUACUCGUAUUAUUUGAGGAUUACA
Non-coding RNA from Camellia sinensis, 839 nucleotides. The record is from RefSeq and is a predicted model, not a curated record. NCBI's taxonomy places the organism in Eukaryota, Viridiplantae, Streptophyta, Magnoliopsida, Ericales, Theaceae.